Molecule: ribosomal RNA, 266 nt
Filed under: uncultured bacterium
Lineage: Bacteria
Description: partial 16S ribosomal RNA
Rfam family: Bacterial small subunit ribosomal RNA
Source: RNAcentral
UGAGAUGGGCUCGCGUCUGAUUAGCUGGUUGGUGGGGUAAAGGCCUACCAAGGCGACGAUCAGUAGCCGGACUGAGAGGUUGAACGGCCACAUUGGGACUGAGACACGGCCCAGACUCCUACGGGAGGCAGCAGUGGGGGAUAUUGCACAAUGGGGGAAACCCUGAUGCAGCAACGCCGCGUGAAGGAAGACGGUUUUCGGAUUGUAAACUUCUGUUCUUAGUGACGAUAAUGACGGUAGCUAAGGAGAAAGCUCCGGCUAACUAC